Anolis carolinensis (green anole) is the source of this 3988-nucleotide long non-coding RNA. RefSeq lists it as uncharacterized. The record is from RefSeq and is a predicted model, not a curated record. NCBI's taxonomy places the organism in Eukaryota, Metazoa, Chordata, Lepidosauria, Squamata, Anolidae. The transcript has 2 exons.
CCCAAAAGCAAAAGAGGGUGUCCCCCCCCCUCAUGAUUUUCCUAUGAGAAGUCAUCCACAUCUCUCAUUUGAAUCAAGGUAAUCAGUGCUUUUCUAACCCUCUGGAUCAUCUUAACUUAUGAAGAGCUGGAGAAAACACUUUAUGAGCUUAUCUAUGUGGAUAAUAGGAAUGAAUCACAGGUUAUGGAUAUCUCUUGGCAAAUUAUAUUCCAGAGUAAUUUGGCAGAACGUUGCAUUUUUCCUCUCCCAGAAUAAUUGUAGAUACUUGCUCAUUCACCAAAAGAUAAAAUGAGAUGAGACACAAGCCACAUAUUCAGAGAAGACAUUGCUGACUGGCUUGCAUCCACUGUGGGGCUUCCAUGAUGAUGAUGAUGAUGAUGAUGAUGAUGAUGAUGAUGAUGAUGAUGAUGAUGAUGAUGAUGAUGAUGAUGAUACCACCCAUACCGCUUUUUCUAAUUCAAAGAAACUCCCCACAAAUCUAAUUUUCCUAUAUUUUGAGAUAGGAAGAGCAAGGAAAAUUAGAAACACAGAGCAAAAAGGAGAGUUAAAAAGAAGCCAGUGGUUUCUUCAUCCUUUUGCAUGUGAUAUCUGUCCUCUUGAGGGCAGGUUGCUCUUGCCAGCCUCCCUCUAUAUCAUUCCCAGAUACCACCCACUCAUCAUAAACAUGCACAUACAUACACUCUCACACACACACUUUUAACUCUUACAUUGUUAACACUGUUUUGUCUACAAGCUGUAUACUGUUAAAACUGGUGAGCUUCCUAAAAGUAUUCAAAUUGUUUUCAAUUGUAAAACAUGUAACUUUUGUAAAUGACAUGUAUCUGCUUCUUACAGUAUAAGAAACGUUAGAGUGAGAAAUAUAAAAUACCAUUGAUGGAAAUCCUUUCUGGACAGGACCACUAUGUGGAUAUCCAGAAACCUUGCCAAUUUGUUUCCCAAGACAAUGGGUUACCAUGAUCUCUCACCAUGAGCAUUCCAUCUUGACUAAUUCGGUUGAUUUCCAUCUGAUGAACAGCAGUUGAGAACUAGGCUACAAGCCAAGCAUUGGAGAAAGGGGUUCUAGACUGUGGGAUCCAAGAAACUUUACAACAAAUUAGACAAUAUAUUAUCAUAUUAAAGUUAAACAAUCAAUUAAAUAAACAAUUAAAUUAAAACUAAUGAAACUUGAACUAUUUGCAGUAUACCUCUGCUAUCCUAGGCAUACGUAUCUUGUAGUAAAUAUAAAUAAACAUAAUGGAAUUUCUGGGUAAUUGGGAAAAGUCUGCAUAGUAAAUUAGUAUUUACUAAUUUACUAUGCAGACCUUUCCCAAUUACUCAGAAAUUCCAUUGCGUUUAAUUAUAUUUACUACAAGAUAAGUAUGCCUAGGGUAGCAGAAUUACACUGUAAUCCUAAAACCAUGGGAAGGAAAUAGCCUCUGUACAAAAUCAUGAUAGUGAUUAAUUAAAUUAAGAAUGUCCAGAUGAGGGUGACUAAAAUGAUCAAAAUUCUGGAAACCAUGCCCUGUAAGGAGUGACUUAAAGAGCUGAGCAUGUUUAGCCCGCUGAAGAGAAGAUUGAGAGGAAACAUGAUAGUCAUGAAUGUUUCAGUUUUUGAAAGGAUGCCUUAAGGAAACAGACGCAGGCUUGUUUUCUGCUGCCCUGGAGACUAGGAUUCAGAGCAAUGGGUUAAAAUUGCAGGAAAGGAGAUUCCUCUUAAACUUUCCUAAACUUAGGAAUAACUUUCUGACCCUAAGAGCUGUUCAACAGUGGAAUUCACAGUCUCAGAGUGUGAUGGAAGCUUCUUCUUUGGAGGCUUUUAGACAAAGGCUGGGUGAUGGGGGUGCUUUGAUUGUGCUUUUCCUGCAAGGCAGGAUAGCCUGUGUCGUAUCUUCCCACUCUAUGAUUCUGUGAUUCUAUGAAAAUAUUUAAUACAUGUACUUGCAAAAAUGGAGGUUGACCAGUACAAUCUCAAAUAGAACAGUAUUAUAAAAAUAUAAUGAUAGAACUAUAAUGCUUACAAAAAUGCUUUCGUUUUCUUUCUGUUCUAUGUGUCAGGUUUUCAUACUUACUCUCAAUUAAAAUUCAUAAGAUUAAUUGACUAGGGACAAAUUGAAAUAUGUAGCAGAAGAAAAUAGUUAAAUACUGACGUUAGACAGCUGAUUAUGAUUUCAGACUACAAGUUGGGGAUUCCAUUUUUGAAUAAUAUACCCUUGACAAAACCCAUUCAUUGUAGAAAACUAGUCCAGGAGGGAGCUUUUAUGGCAGGGAAAUAUUCAAAGGUAUGAAGAUUCCUCCCAUUGUGUUCUGAAGUGGUACAUUCCAUUCUUCCAUUGAAUUUUGCUGCAUUGCUACUUCAGUCUUAACACUUUAUUUAAAUAGAUAACACACUUAUUGAAAUCACCAUGGAUGAUUUUUUUGUCUACCCUCUAUAGUUUUGCUUCUUCAAAUAGUACUGAAUAACAUUGACAGUUACUGAAGAUUUUUUUUGCUGAAAAUCAUGAGCAGGAUUCAAGCUAAAAAAGAUCCAAGGACAUGUUUAUUAUCCAGGUAUGCCUGGAGUUGCUAAGCAACUGUAUGUUCAAUUACAUUGCUUAGAAACAGAAAAUCUGAUGGCAACUGUGAUUUACUGGGUCAUCGGCACUCAAAAAUCCCCUGGGGAGUCAAUGGAUAAUUGCAUCCUUAAGAGAUAUAUAGACAUUUUCUCCCCUAAAAUUUUGUAGAGCAUGUAAAUUAUACAGAAUAAUAACUAAGAAUAGUAUUGAAUUUGAAAAUUUAUUCCUGCAUAUUGUUAACCUUGUAAGACAAAGUUUCAUGAAGCAUAUGAUUAGAAAUAUUUUCACAAACACAGUGUCAACAUUUGAUGAAGAAACAAAGUGGAAACGUUUCAAGACAGUGUGACAAGAUGACACAAAUAUGUCCCCAGUUCAGACAAUGUAAUUCAUUUGAAAAUGACAGACUGAAUGCAAGCAAUGUUAUUUUUUCCAGGCUUCACAAAUAUUAACUUUUCUGUAUAAGGUAAAGUUAGACUACAUGAAUUUAAAAAUUCAUGGCCUUUGUGGUCUCUUCCAAAUCUGCAAUUCUGUGAUUCUAUACAAAUGCACCUAGUGGCCAUUGUUGUGAUACAGGUGCCAUUCCUCUUUCCUUCUAAGCCCUUAUGUGUCAAAUUCAGCCCACCAGGUUAUUUUAUGUGGUCCUCCAGAUGUUGGAGAGGUUGCAGUUUGUUCUGCUUAGUUAGGAUAGUGUCAUUUGAAUUUAGAUACAAGGAUUGUGGAUAUGAUGUCUGACUUUAAAAUGUCCUUUAAUCUUCCCCCAACCUCAGAGUCAGAAGUGCUGUUGGGUUGCAAUUCCCGUUAUCCCCAGUAUGGUGGAUACUCAAAAGUGAUAGGAGUCAAGUAGGGUAAAAACUAAAAGGCACCAGUGUAAAGAAGUGUAUGAUUUUAUUUUGUUUAAUGAUGACAUGUUUAUUUGAUUUGUUUAAACAGUCAGGUUUAGUUAAUUUAAAAUGGUGAGUAUUAGAGCUGUUAAUACCAGCAUUGAAGAACCGGUUGCUAUGACAACGGGGGCGGAGCCAACCGCCAUUUGGAAAGGAAAAGGGGAAUGUUUUAAAACCCAGUUUCAGUCUGUGAUUUUUAGUCGCAGGAAGAAGACUGAUUCUCAUGUGGAGGAUCAGGGUGACUCAAAUAAAAGAAUUUGAGUCAGUCUGUGAUUUUAAAUCACAGGGAGCAGUCUGGUUUCAAGACUGAAGGGAACCAGAAGGACAGACCUCUAUUAGGCCAGACUAAGCAAGUUAGGGGACUUGUUUAGGGUCAUUUACAGAGGCUGUGGAUUAGGGAAAGUUAAUCCCAGUAGAUCCAGGAGGAUCAGGUUUUAGUUUAGCUGAGAGGAAGAAAUAUUUUGAAAGUUUGAACACCUCAUAUCUGUUUGUAACCAUUAAGCUAAGUGCCUUUAAAAAGUUAUAAGAAACCAUCAAGCUCUGUACAAGCAAUAAACUUGUUUUGAUUUAAUUCCA